AUUGAACGCUGGCGGCAGGCCUAACACAUGCAAGUCGAGCGGAUGAAGGGAGCUUGCUCCUGGAUUCAGCGGCGGACGGGUGAGUAAUGCCUAGGAAUCUGCCUGGUAGUGGGGGAUAACGUCCGGAAACGGGCGCUAAUACCGCAUACGUCCUGAGGGAGAAAGUGGGGGAUCUUCGGACCUCACGCUAUCAGAUGAGCCUAGGUCGGAUUAGCUAGUUGGUGGGGUAAAGGCCUACCAAGGCGACGAUCCGUAACUGGUCUGAGAGGAUGAUCAGUCACACUGGAACUGAGACACGGUCCAGACUCCUACGGGAGGCAGCAGUGGGGAAUAUUGGACAAUGGGCGCAAGCCUGAUCCAGCCAUGCCGCGUGUGUGAAGAAGGUCUUCGGAUUGUAAAGCCCUUUAAGUUGGGAGGAAGGGCAGUAAGUUAAUACCUUGCUGUUUUGACGUUACCAACAGAAUAAGCACCGGCUAACUUCGUG
Molecule: ribosomal RNA, 484 nt
Filed under: uncultured bacterium
Lineage: Bacteria
Description: partial 16S ribosomal RNA
Rfam family: Bacterial small subunit ribosomal RNA
Source: RNAcentral